AGAGUUUUGAUCAUGGCUCAGGAUGAACGCUAGCGGCAGGCUUAACACAUGCAAGUCGAGGGGUAACGGGGUGCUUGCACCGCCGACGACCGGCGCACGGGUGCGUAACGCGUAUACAAUCUACCUUGUAGAGGGGAAUAGCCCAGAGAAAUUUGGAUUAAUGCCCCAUAGUAUUAUUGGAUAGCAUUAUUUAAUAAUUAAACAUUUAUGGCUACAAGAUGAGUAUGCGUUCUAUUAGUUAGUAGGUAAGGUAACGGCUUACCUAGACUUCGAUAGAUAGGGGUCCUGAGAGGGAGAUCCCCCACACUGGUACUGAGACACGGACCAGACUCCUACGGGAGGCAGCAGUGAGGAAUAUUGGACAAUGGGCGAGAGCCUGAUCCAGCCAUGCCGCGUGCAGGAAGACGGCCCUAUGGGUUGUAAACUGCUUUUAUAGAGGAAGAAACAUCCCGACGUGUCGGGACUUGACGGUACUCUACGAAUAAGGAUCGGCUAACUCCGUGCCAGCAGCCGCGGUAAUACGGAGGAUCCAAGCGUUAUCCGGAAUCAUUGGGUUUAAAGGGUCCGUAGGCGGGACAAUCAGUCAGCGGUGAAAGUCUGUGGCUCAACCAUAGAAUUGCCAUUGAUACUGUUGUUCUUGAAUACUUAUGAAGUGGUUGGAAUAUGUAGUGUAGCGGUGAAAUGCAUAGAUAUUACAUAGAACACCGAUUGCGAAGGCAGAUCACUAAUAAGUCAUUGACGCUGAUGGACGAAAGCGUGGGUAGCGAACAGGAUUAGAUACCCUGGUAGUCCACGCCGUAAACGAUGGUUACUAGCUGUUCGGCCGUAAGACUGAGUGGCUAAGCGAAAGUGAUAAGUACCCCCU
RNAcentral lists this ribosomal RNA (865 nucleotides) under uncultured bacterium. Its description in RNAcentral is "bacterial SSU rRNA". It matches the Rfam family "Bacterial small subunit ribosomal RNA", at positions 9 to 873 of the family's 1533-position model. The record is from RNAcentral.